This 480-nucleotide ribosomal RNA is filed under the name Treponema sp. canine oral taxon 233. RNAcentral describes it as "bacterial SSU rRNA". It matches the Rfam family "Bacterial small subunit ribosomal RNA", at positions 9 to 472 of the family's 1533-position model. The record is from RNAcentral. Lineage: Bacteria; Pseudomonadati; Spirochaetota; Spirochaetia; Treponematales; Treponemataceae.
GAGUUUGAUUCUGGCUCAGAACGAACGCUGGCGGCGCGUCUUAAGCAUGCAAGUCGAACGGCAAGAAAGGAGCUUGCUCCUUUCCUAGAGUGGCGGACUGGUGAGGAACACGUGGGUAAUCUACCCUUGAGAUGGGGAUAGCCGUUAGAAAUAGCGGGUAAUACCGAAUACACUUAUUAUUUCACAAGAGAUAGUAAGGAAAGGAAGCUACGGCUUCGCUCGAGGAUGAGCCUGCGUCCCAUUAGCUAGUUGGUGAGGUAACGGCUCACCAAGGCAACGAUGGGUAUCCGGCCUGAGAGGGUGAUCGGACACAUUGGGACUGAGAUACGGCCCAAACUCCUACGGGAGGCAGCAGCUAAGAAUAUUCCGCAAUGGACGGAAGUCUGACGGAGCGACGCCGCGUGGAUGAAGAAGGCUGAAAAGUUGUAAAAUCCUUUUGUUGAUGAAGAAUAAGGAUAAGAGGGAAUGCUUAUCUGAUGA